Molecule: long non-coding RNA, 2542 nt
Organism: Homo sapiens (human)
Lineage: Eukaryota; Metazoa; Chordata; Mammalia; Primates; Hominidae
Gene: ZEB1-AS1
Product: ZEB1 antisense RNA 1
Source: Ensembl
GGCCGGAACCUUGUUGCUAGGGACCGGGCGGUUUGCGGCAACCGUGGGCACUGCUGAAUUUGAAUUGAGGGGCGAGGGAAAAGUUUUCCUCAGGUGUGGUGGGGAGAGGGAGGCGGAUGCCGGGAAACCGUAGGGACGCGGUCAGAAAGGCGACGGGCUGUCGGAGUUGGAAAGGUAAAGUUGGAGGCUCGGCGGCGUCCUGCCUCCGCGCUGGCCACACCCGCCGCGGCUGCCCGGGGCAGGGAGGGAUCUGGCUGAUUCUCCCUGUACCCUGUGCCCUCGGAGCUGCCCCUCCGAGCGCCCAGAGGUCCCCGCCUGCCUGCUUCCUGGAGGCAGGGCUACCAUCAGUCCCACGCCUCGCGUGUCCGCCCCCCGCACCCCGGGGCCAAGGAAAGGGAUCGCGGUCUGGACUCCCCGGGGAGUUCCCUUGAUGAGGGGAAGGGCAGGUUUGGGGACGGCGAGGACACGCGGCGACCGGAGAGAGGCUACCUGACCCGCGCAGCCCGGACUCCCUUCCCUUCCCUUCCAGGGACGCCUGGUUUCCCCCCAAGCGAACCGGGAUGGGAAGUGACUUCAAUGAGAUUGAACUUCAGCUGGAUUGAAAGAGAGGCUAGAAGUUCCGCUUGCCAGCAGCCUCCUUAGUAGAGCGGAAUGAGUAAUACCCACACGGUGCUUGUCUCACUUCCCCAUCCGCACCCGGCCCUCACCUGCUGUCACCUCGGCCUCCCACACCCGGUCCGCGCUCCCCGCCCUCUUCCUCGCGUAGAACCGUGGGAUCCUAGGUGGCAGGACUCAGAGCUAAGGUAUCCACAGGCCAUGAAUUCCUUCCUAAAUGAGCGGUCAUCGCCGUGCAGGACCUUAAGGCAAGAAGCAUCGGCUGACAGAUGUGAUCUCUGAACCUGAUAGAUUGCUGAUUUUAUCUUAUUUUAUCCUUGACUUGGUACAAGUUUUGGGAUUUCUGAAAAGACCAUACAGAUAACCACAAAUAUCAAGAAAGUCGUCUUCAGUAUUAAGUAGAAUUUAGAUUUAGGUUUCCUUCCUGCUUCCCACCUCCUUCGAAUAAGGAAACGUCUUUGGGACCAACUUUAUGGAAUAAAUAAGCUGAGCUGUAUUUCAAGUAAUAUAGUUAUAAAUUAACAAUGUAGCAGUUAUUGAUAGAGAAAUUGAGAAAACUGAAACGUGACCGGAGUAUUGGAAAUAACGUAGUACAUCACCUAGCACAAUGACACAUAGUAGGUGCUCAAUAAAUUUAUGCUUAUAAUUUUUGUCACUUCUAUGGCAGGAUUUUUUUAUUAGGUUAAAAUUAUCUUUUAAACACCUUCCGGAAUUUUAGAAUAUUCAUUAAUAAUGUCUUCAAACCUUUCAACUGAAAUAAAUUUACAGCUGAAGUCUGAUGAUUUAAAGUUAGAAAGUUUAAUCUUGAAUAUAAAUGAACAUUUUCUCUCCCACAUUUUCUUGGGCAUUUUGAGAAGUAAAUGCGUUAUUUAUUGGUCCAUGAAAUGUGACUGUAAAUAUUCUUUGCUAUACAUUAUGUCUAUAUAUCUGCAUUCAUCCUCAAUGCCAAAACUAGAAUCAUUAGUCUUAAUGAUCAUUUUAAGUACAGGCAGUCCUCGCUUUCCUUGAUACCAUGUUAACCGAAACUUGUGUAUGUCAACACGGUGUCCUUGCUUUGCUUGGUUAAGUGUGAGUUCUUCCUCCCUUUUUUUAAGAGUUGUACAAUGUUUUUCAGUCGCCUACCGAAUCAGGUCAUAGACUAUGGAAUUGACCCCACCCCACCAACAUUUUUACAGCUACCCUGAUUUCUGACCAGAAAGGAAAAAAAAACUUUCCAGCUCUAUCACACAUUUUACCUACUCUUAAACUUAGGAGGUAUUACAAAUAGCAUUUUCUCAUGUUCUCUUUCUGGCCUGUACCUCCCUGCUAAGCUUCCUUCAGUGUUCAUCCUCACCUCAUAGAGAGAUGAAGUGAAGAGACAAACAGAAGUCAUUUUCUUCCUUACUUUAGUGGUUUCUGGUUUAGUUAGUUUGGGCCAAACUGUGGACAAGUACCUUUUCAGGUAACUUUUUUUUCUUAUUUCUAUGUCCUCAACACCUAGUGGAGUACGUAGCCAAUAGUAGAUGCUUAAUAAACAUUUCUUAAAUUAAUAUUGUUGACCUUUUCUGACCCUGUUCUUGACAGUAAGGUACAUAAUCUGCCUUCAUCCCUUUAGUCCUUAGGAACAGAUAAAGUCAUGGAUAUGAAAGUGAUCACUGUCAUUAAUAUCCACAUUAAAAUUGCUCUUGAUUUUAGUUUCUCCAUAAUCAUUUUCCCUAAACAAUGAACUCUGUUCACCUUUUUUUUUAAAAUAUGCACAGUGAAUAUUACUGGUAGCCCAAAUCUUCUAACAUAAAAUUUCCAUUUUGUAAAAGCUUCUGAUAAGCAUAUAUGUUAUGAAUUGAAUGUUUGAUUAUUAUACUUUAAUAUUCUUGAAAAUAUUGAUACCUGGACUGGAAAGAAAACAGACAAAAGUAAAUCUCAGAAUAAAUUACUGCUUUAAACAUGA